UCUCCGUUGGUGAACCAGCGGAGGGAUCAUUACCGAGUUUACAACUCCCAAACCCAAAUGUGAACAUACCAAACUGUUGCUUCGGCGGACUCGCCCCAGCGUCCGGACCGGCCUCGCGCCGGCCCGCGGCCUGGAUCCAGGCGGCCGCCGGGGAAAACCAAAAACUCUUUGUAUCUUUGUAUAUCUUCUGAGUAAGCCGCAAGGCAAAAACAAAUGAAUCAAAACUUUCAACAACGGAUCUCUUGGUUCUG
Molecule: unclassified non-coding RNA, 251 nt
Filed under: soil metagenome
Description: partial contains small subunit ribosomal RNA, internal transcribed spacer 1, and 5.8S ribosomal RNA
Source: RNAcentral